ACAACCAUGUCAUGGGGAAACACCAGUUCACAUAUAAUCACUGAAGUUAAGCAACAUCAAACCUGGUCAGUAUCUAGAUGGGUAACUCCUUGGGAAUACCAGGUGCUGUAAG
Non-coding RNA from Acanthosepion pharaonis, 112 nucleotides. The record is from the annotation of a GenBank genome assembly. NCBI's taxonomy places the organism in Eukaryota, Metazoa, Mollusca, Cephalopoda, Sepiida, Sepiidae.